GACGUAGGGCGCGAGCGUUGUCCGGAUUUAUUGGGCGUAAAGAGCUCGUAGGCGGCUUGUCGCGUCGACUGUGAAAACUCGGGGCUCAACUCCGAGCUUGCAGUCGAUACGGGCAGGCUAGAGUUCGGUAGGGGAGACUGGAAUUCCUGGUGUAGCGGUGAAGUGCGCAGAUAUCAGGAGGAACACCGGUGGCGAAGGCGGGUCUCUGGGCCGAUACUGACGCUGAGGAGCGAAAGCGUGGGGAGCGAACAGG
RNAcentral lists this ribosomal RNA (253 nucleotides) under uncultured bacterium. RNAcentral describes it as "partial 16S ribosomal RNA". It matches the Rfam family "Bacterial small subunit ribosomal RNA", at positions 524 to 776 of the family's 1533-position model. The record is from RNAcentral.